RNAcentral lists this ribosomal RNA (1399 nucleotides) under marine metagenome. Its description in RNAcentral is "bacterial LSU rRNA". It matches the Rfam family "Bacterial large subunit ribosomal RNA", at positions 654 to 2154 of the family's 2925-position model. The record is from RNAcentral.
GAUUAGGUGUAGGCGUAGCGAAAGCAAGUCUUAAAUGGGCGAAUAGUUGUAUGAAUUAGACCCGAAAACGAAUGAGCUUACCAUGAGCAGGUUGAAAGCAGGGUAACACUUGCCGGAGGACCGAACCAGUUGACGUUGAAAAGUCUUUGGAUGACUUGUGGUAAGGGGUGAAAGGCCAACCAAAUUCGUAGAUAGCUGGUUUUCCGCGAAAACUAUUUAGGUAGUGCGUUGAAUAAACAUAUGUUUGGAGGUAGAGCACUAAACGGGCUAGGGGACAGAAAUGUUUACCAAACCUGAUAAAACUCCGAAUGCCAAACAUAAUUCCUCAACAGACAGACUGUGGGUGCUAAGGUCCAUGGUCGAGAGGGGAACAGCCCAGAUCACCAGAUAAGGUCCCUAAAUCAUGAUUAAGUGUGAAAGGAUGUGGAGAUUCCUAAACAGCCGGGAGGUUGGCUUAGAAGCAGCCAUCCUUUAAAGAUAGCGUAACAGCUCACCGGUCUAAUAGAGUUUCUGCGCCAAAGAUGUAACGGGGCUCAAAUCAUGUACCGAAUCUGUGGGUGUGUAAGUUUUUCGAAAUUUACAUGCGGUAGCGGAACGUUCUGUAAGCCUGCAAAGGUGUACCCGCGAGGGACACUGGAGGUAUCAGAAGUGCGAAUGCUGACAUAAGUAACGAUUAACAGAGUGAAAAACUCUGUCGCCGAAAAUCCAAGGGUUCCUGCGCAAGGUUAAUCCGCGCAGGGUUAGUCGGCCCCUAAGUCGAGGGCGAAAGCCGUAGACGAUGGGAACAAGGUUAAUAUUCCUUGACCAGAUGGAAGUGACGGAUUUUGUAAGUUGUUAACUCUUAAUGGAUUGAGUUAGCUGCGAAAAAGUCCCAGGAAAUAGCUCCAUCAUAAGACCGUACCCUAAACCGACACAGGUGGAUUAUUUGAGUAUAAUUAGGCGCUUGAGAGAAUGAUGUUGAAGGAACUCGGCAAAAUGCCUCUGUAACUUCGGAAGAAAGAGGAUCUAUUUUAAGGCAACUUAAAAUAGGUGUCACAAUCCAGGGAGAAGCGACUGUUUAUCAAAAACACAGGGCUCUGCUAACACGUAAGUGGAUGUAUAGGGUCUGACGCCUGCCCGGUGCUGGAAGGUUAAUGUGGUGAGUGCAAGCUCACUCCUGAAGCCCCAGUGAACGGCGGCCGUAACUAUAACGGUCCUAAGGUAGCGAAAUUCCUUGUCGGGUAAGUUCCGACCUGCAUGAAUGGCGUAACGAUUUCUCCGCUGUCUCCAACAUCAACUCAGUGAAAUUGAAUUCUCCGUGAAGAUGCGGAGUUCCCGUGGUUAGACGGAAAGACCCCGUGCACCUUUACUACAACUUUAUAUUGGUGUUAGGAAUGAUAUGUUUAGCAUAGGAGGGAGA